CCUACGGGAGGCAGCAGUAAGGAAUCUUGCGCAAUGGGCGAAAGCCUGACGCAGCGACGCCGCGUGGGCGAUGAAGGCCUUCGGGUUGUAAAGCCCUUUUCUGGGGGACGAGGAAGGACGGUACCCCAGGAAUAAGUCACGGCUAACUACGUGCCAGCAGCCGCGGUAAGACAGAGGUGGCAAGCGUUGUUCGGAUUUACUGGGCUUAAAGGGCGUGUAGGCGUUCUGAUAAGUUAGAUGUGGAAUCCCCGAGCUUAACUCGGGAAUUGCAUCUAAAACUGUCAGGAUUGAGUCAUACAUGGGAGGGCGGAAUUCCUGGUGUAGCGGUGAAAUGCGUAGACAUCAGGAGGAAGGCCGGUGGCGAAGGCGGCCCUCGGGGUAAUGACUGACGCUGAGGCGCGAAAGCGUGGGGAGCAAACAGGAUUAGAUACCCUGGUAGU
RNAcentral lists this ribosomal RNA (440 nucleotides) under uncultured Nitrospirales bacterium. RNAcentral describes it as "partial 16S ribosomal RNA". It matches the Rfam family "Bacterial small subunit ribosomal RNA", at positions 338 to 794 of the family's 1533-position model. Lineage: Bacteria; Pseudomonadati; Nitrospirota; Nitrospiria; Nitrospirales. The record is from RNAcentral.